This 2732-nucleotide long non-coding RNA is filed under the name Naja naja (Indian cobra). Its description in RNAcentral is "lncRNA (ENSNNAG00000018190.1)". The record is from RNAcentral. Lineage: Eukaryota; Metazoa; Chordata; Lepidosauria; Squamata; Elapidae.
UAAAUCAAUCAAUCAGUCAUACAGGAAUGUAGUUCUUAUAGUUUAUUAGUAAUGUUUCUUAUUCAAUGUAGCAAACUGAAGAUAACCUGCAUGAUGAAAGAAUACAAACAGAAGCCCAAGAACAAACUCCACAGAAAGUAGCUCCAGCACACAAUGAAUUCUAAGUGAUUCUUGAAAGACAGAAGGCAACUGAAUAGAACUAAAAUGCACUAUUGGGCAACACUGCCUAACACAGUAUAGUAAUGCAAACACUAAUGAAGUGGGUAAGUGUCAGAAAUUACUAUUUAAAAACCUUGCCCUACUUUUUGGUGCAAAACACAGCAUCCUCUCUUUUCCAGUAGGCUGAUCUCAUGAACUCAUGAUCUCAUGAAUAUUAGAAGUAGAACUCCAUGAGGAUUUUGUCAGAGACUCCCAUGUCAGGUUCAAGGCUGAAUCAGAGCACAAUCCUAUUAAAUAUACAUUCAUUUGGAAUUUUGCUAAGUGUGUAUCUCUGUAUGUGGUUCAUAUGCAGAAUGCAAGCAUUUAACAGCUUGAAAAACUAAAAAAUUAUAGUUAUGUAUUUUACUGUUAGUAAUAUGAUCUACAGUAUAUACUAGAGGGUCAGUGAAAGAACUGUCACAAACUGCAUUCUAAAAAUGUAUGCUUCCUUGAUUAUAGUUGUGGCUGAAGUAGAAGAACAAGAUACAUUAACUGAAGCAUUACGGGACAGAGUAAAAGAAAAGCUGAAAACUGUCAAGGCUGCACAGGAAAAAGAUUUUUCUCACAAACAAAAUUCUACCACAAGAUUUCAAAACAAUCAAGAAAUAAAUGCUGAGGUAACAAAACUUUGUAAAGAUUCCUGAGAGCAAUAAACUAUUGUUUGAUUCAGUUUCAGGAUAUUAAUAAUGAGAAAGGCACAGUUUUGUGGAACUGUAAUUCAGGCCGUACUGCCUUACAUAAAUAGAAAAAUGAUCUUUUCUUAAUUUUUAAUCUUUUACUAAAUAUUAUUAAAAGUUAAUGUUGAUGUUCUAUAUAAUCUGUGCAAACAUAUCUGUAAUCUUGUAACAGGAUUAGCAAUAGAGCAUACAGGAGAGAUUUGUUUAUCCUUUUUCAGAGCUUUCAAUGGCCAGAGAAAAUAAUAACAAAGUUGCAGUUAUGGGACAUAAAAAAAUGAAAGCAAAUGAAUUGCACAUAUUUACUUGUACUUGAGUUUCAAAAUUGAAUCUUGGUUGGGAAAUAGCUACAGAUAAUGUACUUCUUUAUUCAAAUGUUGGUGUGAAGAAAAAGAAAAGUGUCACAUUGGAGGAUUUUUUUAGACAGCAGGAAGCUUGUAUCUAGGAGAACUUUUAGUUGAUCCUAAUGGGUCCUUUUAACUUUAAAAAACAUAAUCUUUUAAAUUAUUUUUCUUCUUUUUAAAAUCUGAUCUGGUUUUUGAAAAAAAUGUUUUCUAGCAAAAUUCUAUUCAGUUUCAUGUUUCAGUUUUUCAUAUUUAUAUUUAUUUUAAAAUUAUUGGUACAAGCAUGGGGGAGGAUCUAGAAAACUUAAUAAAAUACAAAUGAUCUGCAUCUGGAACUUCAACAAUAAAAAACAGGAAAGGCACUUUGAAAUAAUGUAAGCAGAAAGUUAAAUAUGGAUUUCACUGUGUCAAAUAUAACAACAAAAGGUUAAAUAGCAAAAAAUUAAUAGCAAUUGAACUAACUUGCUGACAUUUCCCCAUUCUUUUGUUUCAAAAUAUAUUAUGAACAUAUAUAAAUUUGAUCACCAGACUUGAAACAACAAAUAAUAUGAAUCAUUCCUAGAACUGGUGAUGCCAUAGAAAAUAGGUAAUUAGUAAUCACUAUUUUCCAUCAAACCUUACCAACAAGUACACAAAUGAAUACUGGUGGAAUAAAUAUUUAGUUAGUUUCUAUAGCUACAUAUGUAGUUUGGGAUAUCAGAUAAUGGGCACAAUUAUUUUUUGUGAACAAUUUUGUGUUGACCUGAUCACUAGUGCAAUAUGCACAAAGGUUAUAUCAAGUAUUCUCAGUAUUAAGCUGGAACAUUUUUGCCAUGAAUUCAUUAAUGUUUCAAAUGAUAAUUGAAUGGUUAUAAAAUAUUGCAUGUAUUAAUUUAAAUUGGAUUCUUAGUUUUAAAUAGUAUUUCAUGCAAUUUAUAUAGUAAUUUCCUUUGAAUCAGCGUGAAUGUAGUAGACUAUACAUACUUAGAUAUUUUCUCAGAUUAUAAAUUCAGAUUAUUAUUUUUUUACCAUAUGAACAUAAACAGAUUAUUUUGGAGUUGCUGUUUUACAUUAAUCUAAACCAGGGGUAUCAAACUGGCAACCUGUGGGCCAGAUGUGUCACACACCCACCCCAGCUCCGCAAAGGGGAAAACAUCACGAAAUGUCACAUGAUAGCAACGUGACCAUGCGAGUUUGACACCCGUGAUCUAAACCUUACCAUACAAAGCAUUGCCAGCAUGUUUAUAUUCUUUCUUCAUUAUAUCUUCCCAGAAUUGUUUAAAAUGGGGAGGAAUGGAUCAAGAUGCUAUUUCAAAAUUUCUAAUCUCAGAAUUUAUGCAGAUUUUGGAAUAAAUGAUGAAGAUUUAGCAGUAUAGGAUAAUUUAGGGAGAUCUAACCUUAGUGCCUGUUGUUUAAUUAAGGAAUGCCUAGAGAGCAGGUGGAGGACGAGCCAUUCUGAAUUCGAUCGUGGCCAGUUAAGAGCCUACAUUAGGACCUACCUGGAAGCGAUCAGGGCAGCGAGCCGUGUUUACUUCUC